Molecule: ribosomal RNA, 506 nt
Filed under: uncultured bacterium
Lineage: Bacteria
Description: partial 16S ribosomal RNA
Rfam family: Bacterial small subunit ribosomal RNA
Source: RNAcentral
AGCGAACGCUGGCGGCAGGCCUAACACAUGCAAGUCGAACGAUCCUUCGGGAUAGUGGCGAACGGGUGAGUAACGCGUAGACAACCUACCUCUUAGAUGGGGACAACAUCGCGAAAGCGGUGCUAAUACCGAAUGAAGUGGCUUUCCUGCAUGGGAGAGAUACUAAAGGUGGCCUCUAUUUAUAAGCUACCACUGAGAGAUGGGUCUGCGUUUGAUUAGGUAGUUGGCGGGGUAACGGCCCACCAAGGCGACGAUCAGUAGCCGGUCUGAGAGGAUGAACGGCCACAUUGGGACUGAGACACGGCCCAAACUCCUACGGGAGGCAGCAGUGGGGAAUCUUCCGCAAUGGACGAAAGUCUGACGGAGCAACGCCGCGUGAGUGAAGAAGGUUUUCGGAUCGUAAAGCUCUGUUGUUUGAGACGAAUGUGCCUGUUUCGAAUAGGGAUAGGUAAUGACGGUAUUAAACGAGAAAGCCACGGCUAACUACGUGCCAGCCGCCGCCGUAA